GCACAGAGAAAAUAAAUUUGUACUCAUUCAAUAAAAACAUAGUGAUUGUCAAUUUUCUGUAAAAAUUUGUACCUAAAGAUGAAAUCAAAAUAUAUCCAUGUGCAUACGAAUCUAAAAUGAAUCACAUACAAAGGCUGAGAAGACAUAUGACAAUACUCUAGAAAGAGAAUAUAUUACUGCCAACAAAACGCUUAGCACUGAACUAUGCUAGGAUUAUGUAUACUGGAUUCCUGCCUCUUCUUCUAAGAUGUCGAUUCUCACACUUACACAUUCUAAUUCUUUAUUUCUCAGACUUUAAUCACUCACUGUCUAAAGGCAUUGGGUUAGGAAACAGCCAUGAAGUUAAAAGUGGCACCAUUACUAUAUACUGUAUUUCAUAAGUUCCAGUCAGAUUAUUACUGAUCUAGAAAAUUACAGUGUAAGAUGUUUAAAAUAGAUAAUUUAUAAUUUAGUCAUCAGGAAGUUUUAAGUUUUAGUCUAUCAUCUACAGCUGAAAUUCUCAAACUUGACUGCACAUUAAAAUCACCUGGGGAGCCUUUUUGAAAAUACGGACUCCUUGGGCUUCCCUGUGGGGUGGGGCUGGAAACAUCUGUAGUGGCAGAACUCCCCAGCUGAUUUGAUGCAAGUCAUUCUAGGACAUAUAAAUGUAAACGUAACCAAGCUUACCUUCUUUGCUAGGAGGUGGUUCUCUUCGCACUGUGCUUUCCUUAAGUCACAGAUGCAGGAAGUGGCAGCGCUAGGAUUAAGACAGGCAGUCUGGCACCUUGGUCCAAGCUCUUUAUUUCUGCUUGACUGUCUCUUACAGCAAGUAUAGACGUAAAUAUUUAUAUUAACCUCAUUCGUGGCUUUACCUUAUUUUUUCCUAACAUUAUCUUUUCUUCAACUCAUUUUUUUCCGCUUAACUUCUAAAAAGAAAACCGCAUCUGCUGUGUAUUUUUGUAAGUCCUUCUUAAUAAACGUUGGAAAAAUAUAGAUGACAGGACAUUAAAAAAAUAAAUUCUACUCUCUAAUUGGUCCCCACAGCACUUUAUAUGUAUUAAUCAAAAAGCGUCGAUUUAAUCUAUAAAAAAAAACAGUGCUGGAUGCAUGGAGAAACUGAACCCGAGGUCUGGAACCCUGUCUUAAUGACAUAACACUCUAGAAACCACGCACAAAUUAAUACUAUUUUUUUCCUUUAAUUAUGUUCUUAAAAAGUGCAUAUUUUGUGGAAUGGUCGGCUCAAGAUGGUUUGAGAUGUAGCAGAGAGGGAAGCUAGCUUCCAAUCUGACACUUGCACGAAUCAGAGAUGCUCGUGGAGAAGCCGCCCCUUCCCCGCUUCAGCCUGGGAGGGUGAGCACGGCCGGUCCCCUCUUCGGUCCGGCCAGGGGGCAGUCACCGGGUGAUCUCCGGUUAUGACAGCUUUUCCAAAAGCCGCCAGGCGCGAAACGUGAGCCCAGCCGUCCAUCCGAAAGAAGCCCCUAUUUUUCUUUCCCUUCC
Molecule: long non-coding RNA, 1476 nt
Filed under: Equus caballus (horse)
Lineage: Eukaryota; Metazoa; Chordata; Mammalia; Perissodactyla; Equidae
Description: lncRNA (ENSECAG00000055312.1)
Source: RNAcentral